RNAcentral lists this ribosomal RNA (126 nucleotides) under Giardia duodenalis. Its description in RNAcentral is "Giardia intestinalis partial small subunit ribosomal RNA". Lineage: Eukaryota; Fornicata; Diplomonadida; Hexamitidae. The record is from RNAcentral.
CCCCAAGGACACAAGCCAUGCAUGCCCGCACACCCGGGAAGCGGCGGACGGCUCAGGACAACGGUUGCACCCCCCGCGGCGGUCCCUGCUAGCCGGACACCGCUGGCAACCCGGCGCCAAGACGUG